This 363-nucleotide ribosomal RNA is filed under the name Cymatopleura elliptica. RNAcentral describes it as "eukaryotic LSU rRNA". It matches the Rfam family "Eukaryotic large subunit ribosomal RNA", at positions 98 to 477 of the family's 3401-position model. The record is from RNAcentral. Lineage: Eukaryota; Bacillariophyta; Bacillariophyceae; Surirellales; Surirellaceae.
CCGCCAUCAGCCCAGCUUGUGAAUCAUCACUUGUGAUGAAUUGUGGUAUGCAGGCCUUUUUAAGUAGCUGGCUGACUAAGUCCCCUGGAAUGGGGUAGCUGAGAGGGUGAGACUCCCGUUUGUCAGCUAGCGUAAGAAGUUGCCAACGAGUCGAGUUGUUUGGGAUUGCAGCUCUAAGUGGGUGGUAACUUCCAUCCAAGGCUAAAUAUUGGUGAGAGACCGAUAGCGUACAAGUACCGUGAGGGAAAGAUGCAAAGCCGCGCGAAAGCGCUGUCAAAGAGUACCUAAAAUUGCUGAAAAGGAAGCGAAGGAAACUAGUGUAAGCCGCUCCGCAUUUCCUCGUCCGCUUGCGGGCGGGGCGCU